This is a long non-coding RNA of Esox lucius (northern pike), 2462 nucleotides long. NCBI's taxonomy places the organism in Eukaryota, Metazoa, Chordata, Actinopteri, Esociformes, Esocidae. The record is from Ensembl.
CUGGCGGGGAUGAAACGUUUGCCGCCGAAUACGUCACUCCCAUUUCUUGCGAGAUUUUUUGACUGCUUCAUUUUCUCUGGCGGUUGCCUGGGUCUAAAGGACCACGGGCCUUCGGCGGCAAGACGCUUUUAAAUAGGCUACUCUCAAAAUCGACCGGCCAUGAUGGUUUGGACACAUUCGCAUCAGUUCGUCGCUCAAUCGCGAGUUACAGUCUGCUAGCUAGCAAAGUCAUCGACUACCAUCGUUUAAAUACCUUGGCCAGAGCAUAACCGAUUAUCUUCACCCAAGAGACCUACUGUUGGUCAAUCGUUUUGGUUUUAAAGAAGUUGCAUUGAUUCCAGAAAACCAGGAAAAUGUUGAGCCAUCUGUAGACUUCAGAGUUGAACCAGGUUUCUCCCCAGUAAUCCAGACUCCACUUCAGAGCCAAGAGUUUGAGUACAAGUAAGUGAUGUUUUUUGUCUUGGAAACUAUUGCUUCUAUUUAAGAUUAGGAAUCCUUUUAUCCAUAAUCUGUUUUUCUUUAGGGCACUUGACUUUCUGGAUAAAAGGUGUGGAGGUGUGUUGUACAUAUCAUUAGCUUUGCACAGUUCAAUUAUUGUGUCAUUACUGAAUAUGCAAUCUCUGCAGUGAAAUUAAAGCUGUUAUGUUUUUUCCCCCAGUUCGUCAAGUACUAAACUUUACACCCCCAGCAGAAAAUGUACCCUGGCAGCAAAUGGGUGAAAAGGCUGGAGGAGAAAGUCAUCGCUCCGUUUUUGUCCCUUGGACUCCCCUGGCAUCGCAUGUACAGCAUGAAGUUUUCAGCAAUGAAGGUAUAUUCUAUGCCUAUGUCCUAAUGUCCAGUUUUUUAACAGUUUUGAAAAUAGUGCCUUUAGUUUUCCAGAACGAGAACCAAGCCCUGAGGGAGGAGAACCAAGCCCUGAGGGAGGAGAACCAAGCCCUGAGGGAGGAGAACCAAGCCCUGAGGGAGGGGAACCAAGCCCUGAGGGAGGGGAGCCAUGCCCUGAGGGAGGGGAGCCAUGCCCUGAGGGAGGGGAGCCAUGCCCUGAGGGAGGGGAGCCAUGCAAGAGCAGCUUCGGGUGACAGCGGCUCGCUUCAAGAGCAGGUGAAGCUAUUUGGGACAAUGCUGAAGAUGUUUGCUCGCACUGGGCAAUCAGGUGCAGAUCAGACCCUAGUGCUGCGACGUCUUGGAGAGUUUGGCGAUGUGCGUAGCAUGGAAAACAAAAUGGACACUAUGCUGCAACAUUUCAGUGUCAAUGUGUCUGUUGGAGAGCUAUCCCUGCCAGGGGAUGUUACUCCCCCUAGACACCCAGGAAGAUUUGGUGUUUCUUGACAGCAUUUUGAGGGAGGAUAAAGAGCUCCAGGAACGAUUUGGGCCCUCCGGAAGAACCCGGCAACCCAGGAUGCCACUGAUGAGGCGGUCCAGGUUAACGUUACACGUUACCUGAAAGGAGCAUCAGACUGUGAAGGAGGAAAAAGCCGCCCAGCUGAGAAGGACCCACAGCCAACCCCUUAAACCUAGGCUGACUACUGACACCCCAGCAUCCCUGAACUGGAACACUUUCUUUAUCCUGCAGUCAGUAACAUCAAGAAGCCAGAAGUGCCAGACUACACUCACCAAACCCACCCUGUUUUUUUUGUAUUAACUUUAGUAUUGGCUUAUUUCAUUCCAUCUUAACGAUUCUAUUAUAGUUUGUAAAUCCUAUUUCAUACCUGUUACUUGAUAUUGCGCAUUAACUAGUACCAACAUUCUACUUUCAUUUCAUCACUAUGCUUAACUGUUAUUCAAUUAAUUAUAGCUUGGAAAUACUAUUUCGUACCUCUGAUACUUGAUAUUGCACAGUACCUGGUACCAAAUAUUCUACUUACUCUGUUUUUAACAUCAGCAUUUUUCAUUCCAUCACAGUGCUUAACUGUUAUUCUAUUGUUAAAUAUAGCUUGUAAAUCCUUGUGCCACAGGUCAGCAUUGCAGUUAUAAUGGUCUGUUCUACUACUGUUUUUACCUCUGUAUUUUUAUAUAUGUAUAUCAAGUUUUGUUUAUCACAGAUACAAGAGACACAUCUUAAUGCAGCAUGGUGUAAAUAUUGUGCUCCAGGUCAGCAAUGCCAUUAUAAUGGAAUAUUCUACUCUAGAGCUUUACUCAAUGGCUUGAAAAUGUGAUGUUCUACCUCGUUUUAUUUGGUAUCCUGCACAUUCUUUGGUACCAAAUAUCCUCAUUACUUGUUAUGUUUACUGGUAAUUAUUUUCAUCCCAGAGCUGACCUCUAUAUUAUUAACAAUGAUUGUGUUUGUGUUAUAAUUUGCUUGUAUGGCUGUUCUUUUUUUUUUAACCAACAUUUUAUUGGAAACCUGCAUGUUCUGUGUGUAUUUAUGUUUCUUUUUUUCUGCCUAUUAUUUAUUUCAGUGAUCUGACACAUCUUGUUUGAAUGACAGUUACUGUACUUUGAAAUGUGGAAUUAAAACACCA